This is a long non-coding RNA of Lucilia cuprina (Australian sheep blowfly), 296 nucleotides long. RefSeq lists it as uncharacterized. Lineage: Eukaryota; Metazoa; Arthropoda; Insecta; Diptera; Calliphoridae. The transcript is spliced from 4 exons. The record is from RefSeq and is a predicted model, not a curated record.
AAAAUGUAUGUGACUGAACGUACACCAUGAGUUGCGUGGUUGUAAAAUUACAAGUUUCUAUGAAUUGAUCAAUGGCCGCCGCAUAAAAAAAGAUGGGGACUAUUUCUAUGGAUUUAAGGGUGGUGUUAUAAUGACGACAACGACGACAAGCGGCUGAUACCACGUUAAUAAGAUUGCGAAACCAAAUCUUCGAGUGAAUUGGAUACUGACGAGGACUAAGCUCACAAAAAACUAGAUGUUUUUGCGAUAAAUACCCCUCGCUUCUCCUGAAAACUAACAAAUAAUAUAAUGCAAGU